AGGGAUUUAGCUCAGUGGCGUGAGCAGCUGCCUAGCAAGCACGAGGUCCUGAGUUCGAUCCCUAGUAUCCCCC
Molecule: transfer RNA, 73 nt
Filed under: Cavia porcellus (domestic guinea pig)
Lineage: Eukaryota; Metazoa; Chordata; Mammalia; Rodentia; Caviidae
Rfam family: tRNA
About the family: Transfer RNA (tRNA) molecules are approximately 80 nucleotides in length. Their secondary structure includes four short double-helical elements and three loops (D, anti-codon, and T loops).
Source: Rfam by way of RNAcentral